CAUGUUCAGCUCCGGUCCUCAAGGGCUGGUGUCUUGCCAGUUUUAGAUGCGUCUUCUAUGCCCCCAGCAACACACUGGAUUCAAAUGAUCAGCUCACCAGAAAGCUGUGAAUAAGCCUGAAAACGAUCCCGAUAAUUUGAAUCGGGUGUGUUGCAGGAAGGAUGCAUCAAAAACCCCUGAGGACCGAAUUCAGACACCACUGGCGUGGAUGAAAAAGCUUUGUAAUUUGGCAUCGUCCAGCUGUCAUGAAUGGUGGCGGUGUGCCGUGUAGAAAACAGAAUGGCUCUUUGCAGAAAUGUCGAAAUCUUGACUCAAUUAAUUUCGACACUCAAAUGCAAUGAGUCUUUUGUCAUUCUUCAAGUCUGGGUUUUGGCCUGUUUUACUGCUGCUUCUCGUGUUUUUCUUUUUUUUUUUUAAAGGGAGAUUGUUGUGCCGUGACAUUUUGCUUGUGUCAAAUGUGCGAAUUGCUCAAUUCGGGUUGGGGAAACCUUGGUCUCGAAUAGCAGCUUUCGAAUGAUUAUUUGGACCAAUCCCCGAGUAGUUCACCCUAAAUGGCCGGCUUUCUGUUCAAGCUUUCCUUGCAAUGACAGAUUGUCAAAAUGCCAGCUGUGGUUGGAAUGGCCAACACACCAAGAAUUGCGAGAACCAGUAGCCAGUCACACGACCGCUUGCGGUAGAUGUUGCACCCCUCACCUGUCAACAAUCCUUCAAAGUUGAGUUUCAUACAGGUGUCCCUUAGCAUGUAAAAUGAGGUUCACAUGGUGCCAAAUUGAUGGGACUUUUCCACUGAACUGGCGCAAGGUUUGUUUUUACGCCAAGAUCCCUCAAAGCCAAAACGCCCUUGCCCAGUGAUUCCGUGAAAUAAAAUAGUUCGAGAGAGGGUGCAAACAUUCAUUUCUGAUUUUACAGAAUCGAUGCAAAGUUGAAUGUUUUUCAUAGAGAUAUUGAAAAAUUGUAGGGGGAAAUUUUCACCGACUCUGCAAAAUGAAUAAAUAAAUAGAGACUCACAAAAGGUGUAAACAUUACAGAGACCCUGCAAAAUUGCUAAAAACACGUUGCGCAAACAACCCGCAAAAUUAAGCUU
Molecule: long non-coding RNA, 1084 nt
Organism: Hippocampus comes (tiger tail seahorse)
Lineage: Eukaryota; Metazoa; Chordata; Actinopteri; Syngnathiformes; Syngnathidae
Exons: 2
Source: RefSeq, a predicted model, not a curated record